AGAACGAACGCUGGCGGCAGGCUUAACACAUGCAAGUCGAACGCCCCGCAAGGGGAGUGGCAGACGGGUGAGUAACACGUGGGAACAUACCCUUCGGUUCGGAACAACGCCGGGAAACUGGCGCUAAUACCGGAUACGGCCUGUGGGCGAAAGAUUGAUCGCCGAAGGAUUGGCCCGCGUUCGAUUAGCUUGUUGGUGAGGUAACGGCUCACCAAGGCGACGAUCGAUAGCUGGUCUGAGAGGAUGGCCAGCCACAUUGGGACUGAGACACGGCCCAAACUCCUACGGGAGGCAGCAGUGGGGAAUAUUGGACAAUGGGCGCAAGCCUGAUCCAGCCAUGCCGCGUGAGUGAUGACGGCCUUAGGGUUGUAAAGCUCUUUCGCACGCGACGAUAAUGACGGUAGCGUGAGAAGAAGCCCCGGCUAACUUCGUGCCAGCAGCCGC
Molecule: ribosomal RNA, 444 nt
Filed under: uncultured bacterium
Lineage: Bacteria
Description: SSU rRNA
Rfam family: Bacterial small subunit ribosomal RNA
Source: RNAcentral